CGUUCUCCAGAUUGGUGAUCGUCGUCUUCGGCACGGCUAGGCCGAGCGCGGCGCAGGCAUCGGCCGUUUCCGCCACGGUGAGGCCGGC
Molecule: transfer RNA, 88 nt
Filed under: Streptomyces chryseus
Lineage: Bacteria; Bacillati; Actinomycetota; Actinomycetes; Kitasatosporales; Streptomycetaceae
Description: tRNA-Arg
Source: RNAcentral